RNAcentral lists this transfer RNA (71 nucleotides) under Candidatus Riesia sp. RNAcentral describes it as "tRNA-Cys". It matches the Rfam family "tRNA". From Rfam's summary of the family: Transfer RNA (tRNA) molecules are approximately 80 nucleotides in length. Their secondary structure includes four short double-helical elements and three loops (D, anti-codon, and T loops). Further hydrogen bonds mediate the characteristic L-shaped molecular structure. tRNAs have two regions of fundamental functional importance: the anti-codon, which is responsible for specific mRNA codon recognition, and the 3' end, to which the tRNAs corresponding amino acid is attached (by aminoacyl-tRNA synthetases). tRNAs cope with the degeneracy of the genetic code in two manners: having more than one tRNA (with a specific anti-codon) for a particular amino acid; and 'wobble' base-pairing, i.e. permitting non-standard base-pairing at the 3rd anti-codon position. The record is from RNAcentral. Lineage: Bacteria; Pseudomonadati; Pseudomonadota; Gammaproteobacteria; Enterobacterales; Enterobacteriaceae.
GGUUCCUUGGCCGAGUGGUUAGGCAUAUGUCUGCAAAACAUGGUACAGCGGUUCGAAUCCGCUAGGAACCU